CAAUAGCGUAUAUUAAAGUUGUUGCAGUUAAAAGCUCGUAGUUGGAUUUGUGGCGUACGGUGUGUUCCGGGCACUUGUUGUCUGAGUAACCUGCUGUUGCCAUCCUUGGGUGGAACCUGUGUGGCAUUAGGUUGUCGUGCAGGGGAUGCCCAUCAUUUACUGUGAAAAAAUUAGAGUGUUCAAAGCAGGCUUAUGCCGUUGAAUAUAUUAGCAUGGAAUAAUGAGAUAGGACUUUUUUGCUAUUUUGUUGGUUUGCGCAAGAAGGUAAUGAUUAAUAGGGACAGUUGGGGGUAUUCGUAUUCCAUUGUCAGAGGUGAAAUUCUUGGAUUUUUGGAAGACGAACUACUGCGAAAGCAUUUACCAAGGAUGUUUUCAUUAA
This 379-nucleotide ribosomal RNA is filed under the name uncultured eukaryote. RNAcentral describes it as "partial 18S ribosomal RNA". It matches the Rfam family "Eukaryotic small subunit ribosomal RNA", at positions 592 to 976 of the family's 1831-position model. The record is from RNAcentral.